AUGGAAGUGAACGUGCAGUCAUUGUUUUUUAGCAUGUUAACUCUUUUGUAAUUCUUUAAAUGAUCAAUAUACAAUGAGUAUCGUGAGUAUUGUGUGUGUGAGUUUGUAUUAGCCAAUGCCUGAACCAACAAUUGGUAUCAGAGCGAAGGUUAAACAAGGGCCGUUUUGAGAGUCGACAGUCGGAAGUGUUGUUCGCCUUCGGGUGUGGGCUGCCAUUGCAGCGGAAUCUUAGGUGGGUCGACAAUCACAGGCUUUGGCUACUGAUUCGGGUUGGAAAUAAGGGGUGUUACUACACACAUAACACGAGGGAUCGUUAUACAGCAGAAGGCGGAGACCGGGAGGUGGUUCGUGUCAGUCGUUAUAGUGCGGAGAGUACCGGUUAGGAUGACAGGGGUGACGGGUGAACACUAGUGUGUCUCGUGGCUGUUAGCUGUUAUCAAAGUGGAAGAAAUGGACUCCAACGAUCAGAGGUUACUGGUGUGCAGGUGACAGAUUAACAGUGAUCGGAGAAACCUAGGUGAUCGCAGGUUAGCGGUUUCGAGGGUUGAUGUUCUAGGGGAUCAAAAGGGUAGCGGAGACGAGUCGUGAUUUAGGCCAAAUCAGCGGGCUUGUUAACCCAGUUUUGUUGAUCAAAGAACGAAGAAGGGAUCGAGUUUUUAUUUUUCGGGUACUCUUUCUCGCUGAGGAGAAGAAUCGCAAGGAGGCGUAGAAUUCUUAUGGCAGAACAACCAACGGGUAUAGCGCGGUAGAAACGAAACAGCGGGGUGGCUGAGAUUUCGUUUAGCGACUCGAAGACGGUGCAGCGGGUGGCUAGCGUCUAGUUGGUGGUUGAUACUCAAGUGGUGCUUAUCAAGGAAUGGUUUGACAGAAUAGUGAAAUCACAAUCAGAGACGACUUUGGACGUGGUCGAGGUGAACACCGGGGUGUCCAGGAUAGGUCGAGUUAUUGGAAGGCUUUGGGCGUGACCGUAGUUGAAGUCGGGUGUCCGAUAGAAGUCGAGAUGGUUCGAGAGGAGACGGUGACUCAGGUGUCGUGAACGAGUGGGUGAUUGUUGGGUUAAUCGGUUCGUAUACGGGUCACAGGUCGACCUGUUAUCGGGUCACGAGUCAAAUGGUUCGAAUGGGUCAUCCGGGUUGUUCCUUUCAGCAUAUGCUAAUAUUGAAUAAAGUAUUUAUACCCAUAAUUUAGAAUCUACACGUUAGUGUGAAAUGGUCAAGUUUGACCGAGUUUCAUGCAAAUGGAUGUUGGAUGGAAGUGAACGUGCAGUCAUUGUUUUUUAGCAUGUGUUCAUUUUUAAUUAUAAAUAGUAGUAGUUUUUCUUUGU
RNAcentral lists this long non-coding RNA (1324 nucleotides) under Helianthus annuus (common sunflower). Its description in RNAcentral is "hypothetical non coding rna". The record is from RNAcentral. Lineage: Eukaryota; Viridiplantae; Streptophyta; Magnoliopsida; Asterales; Asteraceae.